Molecule: ribosomal RNA, 448 nt
Filed under: uncultured bacterium
Lineage: Bacteria
Description: partial 16S ribosomal RNA
Rfam family: Bacterial small subunit ribosomal RNA
Source: RNAcentral
AACGAACGCUGGCGGCAUGCCUAACACAUGCAAGUCGAACGAGAUCUUCGGGUCUAGUGGCGCACGGGUGCGUAACGUGUGGGAAUCUGCCCUUUGGUUCGGAAUAACAGUUGGAAACGACUGCUAAUACCGGAUGAUGACGAAAGUCCAAAGAUUUAUCGCCAGAGGAUGAGCCCGCGUAGGAUUAGCUAGUUGGUGUGGUAAAGGCGCACCAAGGCGACGAUCCUUAGCUGGUCUGAGAGGAUGAUCAGCCACACUGGGAUUGAGACACGGCCCAGACUCCUACGGGAGGCAGCAGUGGGGAAUAUUGGACAAUGGGCGAAAGCCUGAUCAGCAAUGCCGCGUGAGUGAUGAAGGCCUUAGGGUUGUAAAGCUCUUUUACCCGGGAUGAUAAUGACAGUACCGGGAGAAUAAGCUCCGGCUAACUCCGUGCCAGCAGCCGCCGUAA